UACGAAGGGGGCUAGCGUUGCUCGGAAUGACUGGGCGUAAAGGGCGCGUAGGCGGCUUGCACAGUCAGGCGUGAAAUUCCUGGGCUCAACCUGGGGACUGCGCUUGAGACGUGUGGGCUUGAGUGGGGAAGAGGGUCGUGGAAUUCCCAGUGUAGAGGUGAAAUUCGUAGAUAUUGGGAAGAACACCGGUGGCGAAGGCGGCAUCCUGGACCAUUACUGACGCUGAGGCGCGAAAGCUAGGGGAGCAAACGGG
This 253-nucleotide ribosomal RNA is filed under the name uncultured bacterium. RNAcentral describes it as "partial 16S ribosomal RNA". It matches the Rfam family "Bacterial small subunit ribosomal RNA", at positions 524 to 776 of the family's 1533-position model. The record is from RNAcentral.